RNAcentral lists this long non-coding RNA (1139 nucleotides) under Oncorhynchus kisutch (coho salmon). Its description in RNAcentral is "lncRNA (ENSOKIG00005020597.1)". Lineage: Eukaryota; Metazoa; Chordata; Actinopteri; Salmoniformes; Salmonidae. The record is from RNAcentral.
AUUUUUCAAUUUUUUAAUUCAAUUUCAAUUCACUUCCUGAAUUAAAACAUUUAAUUGACCCCAUCCUUGACUUGAAUUAAAUCCCACUUUAAAAAGCUUAUAUUGUCCUUCAAUAUUGACUUUUGCUUGUGCUGCCCUUUACAAAAAUAAGUUUAUGGCAAAUUUGCUGCAAAUAAAUGUUGCCAGAAGUUUGCAAAUGUUUGCCACCAGUGGUGAAUCUGCAGCAAACCUUAGGCAACAAUAGUAUGUAAUGCCACUAGUGGCAAACAGCUUGCCAGAAGUAGUUCCAAGACCAGUAAGCAUUGAUGACCAGUUAGUGGGAGAAGAAAAAUCUAUUGAAGUGAUCUACCUUCCAAGUUGUACAGUGAGUGUCUAACUUAUUAAACAUUCUAAUAAACUUAAACAUCGUGUUAUCUAAUUGAUGCCUGUUUAGCAGUGUCAUGUUUUAUGGGAUAGAGUGAAACACAUUUUGUUGCAACUUGUCAGCGCCACUGGCUGGCUUUUUGCACAAUUAAUGUGAUAGCUAGCUAGCUAACUAAUGAUUUACCUAAACACUUAACGUUAUAUUUUUAGGUAAAGACUUGCUGUCUUGUAAUAACAAAUGUCAAUAUGCUAGCGUCACUGUUCAGUACCAUGUUAGCUAGCAUAACAGCUAAGUUAAAGUAGCAACAAGAAAUAUGAGCUGACUUGACAUCAGAGCAAAACUUCACUCUUGCAGAUGGAUACCCUUCCCCUACCCGUCGUGUUGGAAGAGGCUGCAUUGGGAAGAGGAUGCAUCAACACCCUGGAAAUAUGUUUGUGGUGCAUUCACUCAUAACAGUUGUUUUUUUUGCGAUAAAUGAGUGUAAUGUAAUCUUCUUCAAGUUUGAUAAGUGCAUGCAGUUAUUAAGCUUUGGACGAAGGACUUCCACAAGGCCGCCAUCUCCAAAGUUCACUCAAAAAGGCAAUAGUUUUUUUUGUGUGUAUAUUAUUAUUUUUUCACUUCCAUUGGUUGAAAGCUAAUUUCUCAUCAGUAAUCACUUAGUUCAUGAACAUAAACAUCCUAAGGUUAAAAUCCCCAUAACCCAUAGUGUUCACAUUUCUCUCAUGUAAAUAUUGUAGCUACAUAAAAAUAUGAAAUAAACUAUUUAUUUGGGGAA